This 244-nucleotide ribosomal RNA is filed under the name Bacillus thuringiensis. RNAcentral's name for it is "partial 16S ribosomal RNA". It matches the Rfam family "Bacterial small subunit ribosomal RNA", at positions 242 to 496 of the family's 1533-position model. Lineage: Bacteria; Bacillati; Bacillota; Bacilli; Caryophanales; Bacillaceae. The record is from RNAcentral.
UACCUAGUUGGCGGGGUAACGGCCCACCAAGGGGGAGAUGUCUAGCGGGUGUGAGAGCACGACCCGCGCCACUCGCACUGAGACACUGGCGAGACACCUACGGGUGGCUGCAGUCGAGGAUCUUCGGCAAUGCGCGCAAGCGCGACCGAGCGACGCCGCGUGGGCGACGAAGGCCUUCGGGUUGUAAAGCCCUGUCGAGGGGGAGAAAGCCGCAAGGCGGAUCCAUCCCUGGAGGAAGCUCGGG